Molecule: ribosomal RNA, 468 nt
Filed under: uncultured bacterium
Lineage: Bacteria
Description: partial 16S ribosomal RNA
Rfam family: Bacterial small subunit ribosomal RNA
Source: RNAcentral
GACGAACGCUGGCGGCGUGCUUAACACAUGCGAGUCGAACGGAAAGGCCCUGCUUUUGUGGGGUGCUCGAGUGGCGAACGGGUGAGUAACACGUGAGUAACCUGCCCUUGACUUUGGGAUAACUUCAGGAAACUGGGGCUAAUACCGGAUAGGAGCUCCUGCUGCAUGGUGGGGGUUGGAAAGUUUCGGCGGUUGGGGAUGGACUCGCGGCUUAUCAGCUUGUUGGUGGGGUAGUGGCUUACCAAGGCUUUGACGGGUAGCCGGCCUGAGAGGGUGACCGGCCACAUUGGGACUGAGAUACGGCCCAGACUCCUACGGGAGGCAGCAGUGGGGAAUAUUGCACAAUGGGCGAAAGCCUGAUGCAGCAACGCCGCGUGCGGGAUGACGGCCUUCGGGUUGUAAACCGCUUUCGCCUGUGACGAAGCGUGAGUGACGGUAAUGGGUAAAGAAGCACCGGCUAACUACGUG